This 561-nucleotide long non-coding RNA is filed under the name Rattus norvegicus (Norway rat). Its description in RNAcentral is "long non-coding RNA NONRATT020081". Lineage: Eukaryota; Metazoa; Chordata; Mammalia; Rodentia; Muridae. The record is from RNAcentral.
GUUUUAAAAUCUGUUUUCAGAGCUGGAGAGGUAGCUCAGCCGUAAAGAACACAUCCUGGGCUUGCAGAGGACUAGAGUUCAGCUCCCAGCACCUAAGUUGGGUGGGUGGUUCACAACCUUCUAUAACUCCAGCUCCAGGGGCUUCUGGCCUACCUGGUUACCUGCACACGCAUCCACAUAUGGAAGUAAAGUGGAAUAUUUCUUUUUUUUUUUCUUUUUCUUUUUUUCGGAGCUGGGGACCGAACCCAGGGCCUUGGGCUUGCUAGGCAAGCGCUCUACCACUGAGCUAAAUCCCCAACCCCGGAAUAUUUCUUGAAAGGCAAUAUCAUGAGACGUGCUGCUUAGACUUAGGGACUAGGGGAGCGUUAGCCGUUAAGCUGCGGGUCACACACACUUCUCACCCAGUGGAAACACGGUCUGCUGUUUUUGUCAUGGUUAAGAUGUCUCUAGGACAGGCACUAUCGCUGCAGUUUGUAAGAUCUCUCUCUCUCUCUCUCCCCGUGUGUGUGUGUGUGUGUGUGUGUGUGUGUGUGUGUGUGUGUGUGUUCGCUUAUGUGUGCU